GACGAACGCUGGCGGCGUGCUUAACACAUGCAAGUCGAACGGAAAGGCCUGCUUUCCCUUGUGGAUUGCGGGUACUCGAGUGGCGAACGGGUGAGUAACACGUGAGUGAUCUGCCCCCAACUUGGGUAUAAGCCUGGGAAACUGGGUCUAAUUCCCGAUAGGACUGCAGGGUGGUGCCUGUGGUGGAAAACGAUUUUCUAGUGGUUGGGGAUGAGCUCGCGGCCUAUCAGCUUGUUGGUGGGGUAAUGGCCUACCAAGGCGGCGACGGGUAGCCGGCCUGAGAGGGUGGACGGCCACAUUGGGACUGAGAUACGGCCCAGACUCCUACGGGAGGCAGCAGUGGGGAAUAUUACACAAUGGGCGGAAGCCUGAUGCAGCGACGCCGCGUGGGGGAUGUCGGCCUUCGGGUUGUAAACUCCUUUCGACCGCGAGGAAGCCACCUGGUUGGAAGGGUGGUGACGGUAGUGGUAGAAGAAGCACCGGCUAACUACGUG
RNAcentral lists this ribosomal RNA (494 nucleotides) under uncultured bacterium. RNAcentral describes it as "partial 16S ribosomal RNA". It matches the Rfam family "Bacterial small subunit ribosomal RNA", at positions 28 to 507 of the family's 1533-position model. The record is from RNAcentral.